CAGUAGCCGCGGUAAUACGGAGGGUGCAAGCGUUAUCCGGAUUUAUUGGGUUUAAAGGGUCCGUAGGCGGAUCUGUAAGUCAGUGGUGAAAUCUCACAGCUUAACUGUGAAACUGCCAUUGAUACUGCAGGUCUUGAGUAAAUUUGAAGUGGCUGGAAUAAGUAGUGUAGCGGUGAGAUGCAUAGAUAUUACUUAGAACACCAAUUGCGAAGGCAGGUCACUAAGAUUUAACUGACGCUGAUGGACAAAAGCGUGGGGAGCGAACAGGAUUAGAUACCCCAGUAGUCCCUGUCUCUUAUAC
Molecule: ribosomal RNA, 301 nt
Filed under: uncultured bacterium
Lineage: Bacteria
Description: partial 16S ribosomal RNA
Rfam family: Bacterial small subunit ribosomal RNA
Source: RNAcentral